Schistocerca serialis cubense is the source of this 212-nucleotide long non-coding RNA. RefSeq lists it as uncharacterized. The record is from RefSeq and is a predicted model, not a curated record. NCBI's taxonomy places the organism in Eukaryota, Metazoa, Arthropoda, Insecta, Orthoptera, Acrididae. The transcript has 3 exons.
GCAUCUGUGCAGUGAGGAUGUUGCGCCGGCCGCUACCGUGAGUACACAUGCUGCUGACGGGGCCCACAGAGGACGCAAUGGAGGUCCUGCGACAGAGCGGACAGCACGCGGGCAAGAUGAGCGCCGGGAGCGGGUCUGGCGUGGCGGCGGCGGCUGCGGCGGCGGCAGCGGCGACGAGUGCGGGCGGCGCCAGCAGCCACAGCGCGGCGGCG